UGCGAAACAGAUGUAUUUUUAAUGCAGAUGUGUUAGGUACUGUCAUCCCUCUAAUGUCCUCGACAAAGACAAUCCUGUGAGGGUGAAUUGUUGGCCUCUCCUGUUUUCCCUGCAGUUAAAAAAGAACUAUGGCCUCAACCUCUCUUGUCAGGGAACAGUGUGGAAAACUGUGAUGCAGGAGUCAAUGGGAGCAUGGCAGAACAGCCAAUUAUGUGGCAAGAUCUAUGGGAAGAAUGAUUGAGAUAUAUGCCAGAGACCCUUAUGCUGCAAAAAAAAAACACAUGCAGAGGCUGAUGGAGUACAUUGCUGAAAUCAAGCAUUCAAAAUGGGAAGUCUCUUUGAAGACAAUUAAAAACAUGUAGUAAGUGACUAAUGGGGGAGAGGGGCGAUUCUUCUCCUAUUUCUUCCUUUGAAUUUCUGAUAAAAUAAUAUUCCUUUCUAGCUCUAAAGAAAAGACUGGAGAAGUAGAAACUAAUAACAUUUGAAUUAAAUAUACGCCUUUUAUGAUUUUUAUUCUGUUUUUCUAUGAUGUACUUCAGUUUGUCAUUGGAUCCCUUAUCUCAAUUAUCUAAUACUGGCACCUAUUGGUAGUUCAUAAUCACUGCAUGUUCAUCUGCAUUUGUUCUUAAAUCAGGAACUUAAAGGUUUUAUAUGUUAAUUACUUCUCCCCCACCCCUCUUCAUUAGGAAAGUACCUUCUGUUAACUAUUUACAUUGUUUAAAUGGACGUUGUUUGAGAGAAUACGAUGAGUGUAAAAGUGUUUUUGAGCAGUCCUAAAAAGCACUUGAAACCAUGUCAACGUUAAUUUAUUUCCUCUCAAAGGAAACUACAGUUAAAAAGUUGUUUAGCUGAUUUAUGCUUGUAGUCAGAAUAUCUGCAUAGUACACUAAUCAGCUCAGUGUGAUGGGCCAGAAAUCAAAUGAUGAAAACCACAAUUUUUCAAAGGAAACACAGACAUACUCUCAUCUAAAUCUUAGCAAGCUUGUCAGCUAUAAAUAGAUACUGUACCAAAAGAUAACAGAUGAUUAUCCUUUAAAUGAUAAUUAACUAGAAAAGAAAUGUUAAGAAAUAGAAACUAACGAAAGUGCAGCAUGUGUUUAUGGGUUACCUUUAUAUUUUUGGAUGCAAUUCACACUGGAAAAAUUUGCAACCAUAUUCUAAUCAAAUAGUUAGAACAGCAAGAACUCAAUUACACUGGCAAUUUGUUUUGGCAGUUGGGUCUGCAAGCAAGGCCAUCCAGUACCUUUGAAAGUCUGCCCUGAAUGUAUAGUCACUCUGAACCAACUGAGUACCUAACUCAGGGGCACUCUCAGAUUAAAAUCCUAAUUCCCUCUAAUGACUUUUCUAAUUAGUAGUUCAGAGCAUUAAGAUUUAGAGAAAUUUAAUCUCCUGUUUACUUUUCAUUCUUUUGCACUUCUUGUUUCUCUUUUGUUUCAGAGCAGAAUUCCCUGUUUUCCCUCUAUUUUUAUCCACUCUCAAGAGGACCGUUGUUGCAGCAACCUUCAUACCCACAAAAACAGUCUGCACAGUGCAGAUCCUGUCAAGCCCACUUCUGUAAAGUAUUCUCCUCCCAAGGGGCAGGAUCUGCCGCCUCUGUAAUAGUCUCAGCACCCACAUUAGUUGGCUUGGGAUGAAACUUGGUCCUGAACUCCGUUGCUUCCAGCAGGCAAUCUCUCUGUGGACCUAAUCCAGUGAAGUCAAUGGGAGUCUUUCUAUCAUUGUCAAUGGGCUUUCGAUCAGGCUGCAUGGUGUGAUACAAGUAGGGUGACCAGAUGGCAAGUGUGAAAAAUUGGGAUCGGGGUGAGGGGUAAUAGGCACUUAUACAAGACAUAGCCCCAAAUAUCGGGACUGUCCCUAUAAAACUGGGACAUCUGGUCACCCCAAAUACAACAGCCUGUUGUCUAGAUUUAAUAAGAUUUGUGCCCUUUGGAUAGGUAUGGAGCUAACCACAGCAGGUAGAUAAUAUUUAGAACAGACUCACAAAUGCUUUUGCAUCUUUUUCUGGCCUCAUACUUCUAGUUAUUUAUGCAUAUUUGGAUGACUGCCAGGUAUGCAAGAGAUUGCUGAAUAUCCUGAAAGUUUCAUGAAUGUGUGCUAUAGCUGCACUAGUUGUUUGUCAUUUCCCAUUAGUUAUUCUCCUUUUUUUAAAAAAAAGAAUCAGUUACGCAGAAACAAAACCAUGGGAAUGAGUAGCUAAUCUCCCAGAUCAAGCAUCAUCACAUAGUUAGAACAGUCCACAACAGUCAUUAUCACUAUUUUUAUAAUGAACAUCAUUAAUAAUUUCAGAUAGUGUGUGUAUCAUUGAGACACAAGACUAGUUUGAGAAUGAUUCACAAAGCAAUUGCCACCUCUCUCCCCAAAUGUGGCAUCUGAAUAUUAUUUGACCAGCUCUGGCAAUAACUGAGUGCAAGUAGUGGGCAUUUUAACUGUAUCUUCCUUCACUCAGAGCUCAGCAAGGAUGCCUCAAGCACACCUCCUUAUAAUAUUGUGGUCAUGAUUUCAUUUCACAUCAUAAACUGCCAUCAACACAGCCUUGUCAUUGCAAUUUGUCACAUACACUAGCGUGAGCACUCUGUAUCUUACUGAAAAUUUUAUCUCACCAGUCACAAUCACAGACUACUAGUUUAAAGCAAAGCUCUCAGAUAUUAUGGGAAGAUGAAAUCACAAAAGAUAAACAUUAAUAGACACAGCCACCACCGUGGACCCACACACUCCUAGCCUUUGCAGGUUCUGUAAAAAGUCAAAUUUAGAUAGGCUAAUAGCCAGGUUUCCCUAAACACACCUGGAAAAACUCAUUUACAAUACAUUUCUGAACCCUUCACACAUUUUGGCCCAACACAAAAUUCUGUUUAUUCGGUCUCCUCCCAUCACCUCCCUCCCUCCCCACCCCGACACUUGCGCAGUUAGGGAAGAAUCUUUGGCUACGUCUACACUACGGGGGGGAUCGAUUUCAGAUACGCAAAUUCAGCUACGAGAAUAGCCUAGCUGAAUUCGACGUAUCUGAUCUGACUUACCGUGCUGUGAGAACGGCAGCAAAUCGACCGUGGCUCCCGCGUCG
This is a long non-coding RNA of Trachemys scripta elegans, 3058 nucleotides long. RefSeq lists it as uncharacterized. The transcript is spliced from 3 exons. The record is from RefSeq and is a predicted model, not a curated record. Lineage: Eukaryota; Metazoa; Chordata; Testudines; Emydidae.